This 37959-nucleotide long non-coding RNA is filed under the name Triticum aestivum (bread wheat). RNAcentral describes it as "long non-coding RNA (TAES_LNC020531)". The record is from RNAcentral. Lineage: Eukaryota; Viridiplantae; Streptophyta; Magnoliopsida; Poales; Poaceae.
CGCGUUUGUGAGGAUUCGUUCGACUACGUCUGUUUGUCUUCUUCAUGGACUCGUUCUUCUUCCUUGCGGGAUCUCAGGCAAGAUGAUCAUACCCUCAAAAUCACUUCUAUCUUUGCUUGCUAGUUGCUCGCUCUUUUGCUAUGCCUAUGCUGCGAUACCUACCACUUGCUUAUCAUGCCUCCCCUCUUGUUGAACCAAGCCUCUAACCCACCUUGUCCUAGCAAACCGUUGUUUGGCUAUGUUACCGAUUUGCUCAGCCCCUCUUAUAGCGUUGUUAGUUGCAGGUGAAGAUUGAAGUUUGUUCCUUGUUGGAACAUGGAGAUGUUGUUCCUUGUUGGAACAUGUUUACUUGUUGGGAUAUCACAAUACCUCUUAUUUAAUUAAUGCAUCUAUAUACUUGGUAAAGGGUGGAAGGCUCAGCCUUAUGCCUGGUGUUUUGUUCCACUCUUGCCGCCCUAGUUUCCGUCAUAUCGGUGUUAUGUUCCUGGAUUUUGCGUUCCUUACGUGGUUGGGUUAUAAUGGGAACCCCUUGACAGUUUGCCUUGAAUAAAACUCCUCUAGCAAGGCCCAACAUUGGUUUUACCAUUCGCCACCUAGCCUUUUUUCCCUUGGGUUAGGCCAUCCCAAGGGUCAUCUUUAUUNNNNNNNNNNNNNNNNNNNNNNNNNNNNNNNNNNNNNNNNNNNNNNNNNNNNNNNNNNNNNNNNNNNNNNNNNNNNNNNNNNNNNNNNNNNNNNNNNNNNNNNNNNNNNNNNNNNNNNNNNNNNNNNNNNNNNNNNNNNNNNNNNNNNNNNNNNNNNNNNNNNNNNNNNNNNNNNNNNNNNNNNNNNNNNNNNNNNNNNNNNNNNNNNNNNNNNNNNNNNNNNNNNNNNNNNNNNNNNNNNNNNNNNNNNNNNNNNNNNNNNNNNNNNNNNNNNNNNNNNNNNNNNNNNNNNNNNNNNNNNNNNNNNNNNNNNNNNNNNNNNNNNNNNNNNNNNNNNNNNNNNNNNNNNNNNNNNNNNNNNNNNNNGGGCCAGUGCUUGUCUAAGUGUUGGUCCAACCGAGCGAUGUCCGGAGCUACCAGGGGCAACUCUGGGCUGGCCCACCCGACGUCUUGCUCAUCCGGUGUGCCCUGAGAACGAGAUAUGUGCAGCUCCUAUCGGGAUUUGUCGGGACAUCUGGGUGGUCUUGCUGGUCUUGUUUUACCAUUGUCGAAAUGUCUUGUAACCGGGAUUCCGAGUCUGAUCGGGUCUUCCCGCUAGAAGGAAUAUCCUUCGUUGACCUUGAGAGCUUGUGAUGGACUAAGUUGGGACACCCCUGCAGGGAUUUGAACUUUCGAAAGCCGUGCCCGCGGUUAUGGGCAGAUGGGAAUUUCUUAAUGUCCGGUUGUAGAAAACCUGAAGUUGACCUUAAUUAAAAUGCACCAACCGCGUGUGUUACCGUGAUGGUCUCUUCUCGGCGGGGUCCGGGAAGUGAACACGGUGUUGGAGUUAUGCUUGACGUAGGUUGUUCUAGGAUCACUUCUUGAUCAUAGUUGUUCGAUCGUGCUUUGCUUUCUCUUCUCGCUCUCUUUUGCGAAUAGGUUAGCCACCAUAUAUGCUAGUCGCUUGCUGCAGCUCCACCCCAUACCUUUACCUUACCCAUAAGCUUAAAUAGUCUUGAUCGCAAGGGUGUGAGAUUGCUGAGUCCCCGUGACUCACAGAUACUUCCAAAACCAGCUUGCAGGUGCCGAUGAGUUCGUGCAGAUGAUGCAACCAAGCUCAGGAGGACCUCGAUGAAGAUCUUGUCCUUUGUGUUGUUGCAUUUUCCAUUUGAUCAGUAGUGGAGCCCAGUUGGGACGAUCGGGGAUCUGUGUAGCAUUUGGGGUAGUCUUCUUUUAUUUUGAUUCCGUAGUCGGACCUUGAGUGUAUUUGGAUGAAUGUAAUGCUUUAUUCAUGUAAUUGGGUGAAGUGGCGAUUAUAAGCCAACUAUUUAUCUCUUUCCCUUAUGUAUUACAUGGAUUGUGUGAAGAUUACCUCACUUGCGACAUUGCUUUCAAUGCGGUUAUGCCUCUAAGUCGUGCUUCGACAUGUGGGAGAUAUAGACGCAUCGAGGGCAUUACAAGUUGGUAAUCAGAGCCUUCCCCGACCUUAGGAGCCCCCCUGAUUGAUCGAAUUAGCUGACGAGUUGAGUCUAGAAAAAUGUUUUGAGUCAUUUAGGAAUUAUAUAUCGGAGAGUUAGGAAUUCUUUUACUCCUCAGUCCCUUCAUCGCUCUGGUAAGGCAUCCUGACGUAGAGUUUUGACUCUUCUCUUCUCAAAUUUCACUAAAACAAUUUAGGAUCACGUGGGUAUCUUGGAAUCGUUCCGAUCGAUUUGUGACGAGAACAUUGUUCUUGGUGCCUCCUGUCAUUUAGGGGUUGUGGCAGUGUCCCGGGGAGUUGAGCUCCGAGGUGUUGUCGUCACAAUUUUAUCGUUGCAGUUCUGGAAUACCUGAGUUUAGUUUCGCCGACAUCGAAAAUCUCUUUUAUGCAGUUGUUGGUGAGAUAACCUCGACACCACCCAGUACUGGGGCGGGAGUUCGGGAGUAUUGCCAUAACUCGUAUAACGGAUGCUUUUCGAAGGUUGAGGUAGAUGAUUUCCGAAGGUUUCUUGGUUAUGUGUUGAAGGAUGGAUACAGCUGGAUGUAGGAUUUGCUAAUUUUGGGUGAGAUAUUAUGCUUCCCCUGUAUCCCCAACACCUGAUUGCAUAAUCGGAAAAUUUCGGGAGUUUAUAAGUGGGAAUUCAAGUAGCUCUUAGGAUAUCUUUCCGACAGAUGUAUGAUACGAAAUUGGGGUUCGACGUCUAGUGGUCCGCCUAUUCACGGUUGGUUUUACAGUGGUCUCGUUGUGUCUUAAAGAGUCCUUGGCUAUGCCGACUCAGGGACGCUUCGUAUGUCAUGUGCACUGCCUUGUACAUGAUGGUGCUGUACGAUCGAGCCCGUGUAGGCCCCACCACGAAAACUUCGGACGAAAUCUCUAUCAUAUGUUUGUUCAGGCUUAUUCUGCAAGCCAAUCCUUUGUUUGUUUUGAGUUGUGGUAUUUGAGUUGCUUCGAAGUCAAAUGUUAAUUCCAUACCUUCUCUACACGGUGUUCUCAUACUCCGAUGUGAAUACCAAUCCUUCAUGAUCAUCGAUAUUGUCAUGUCAAUCCUUUUCAACCGGCGUGUUUUCUUUUCAAGUUGAUCGAACAUUUCACCAUCCGCAAGAUCAAGUAUCAGUUCUUCUCAACGGUGUUCAUUUCUUCCGUCUCCAAGUUGCCUUUGUUUUUCCCACCCUCCCUCCCUUUGUUUUCUUCAAGGACUCAGAUUUCUUAAUCAAGUAUCUUUUUAUUCAUGUGAAGUCUCUCCAUUCUUUUUCGUUAAUGUUCUUACCCGGUGGAUCUCACGAAGAUUCUAAUGGAGCUUCAAGUUCGUCAUUCUUCAUUCUUUUCUUCUCCGGUGGAUUCAAUUCAAGUUUUUGGUGUUGAUCAUAUCCUUUCCUCGUUUCAGAAGUUUUAUCAUACCGGUGCACCUCUUAAUCAUCCACUUCUCGCUCUUCAAUUAUUUCAGAGUGCUCAAGAUAUCUCGAAGAUUCAUGUUUCCGCUCUACAUUCGUUCAAGAUCUUUCGAGGAUGUUACCUCUUUCAAGCCAUUUAUUUCAACCGGCGCAAUCUAUAUUCUAAAUCAUUCAACAAUGUAUCUUUUGAGUGGGCCCUAACCCACAGGUCUUUUUUCCAGGAUCUUACCUGACUCUUCUUAUUUUCCGGAGCUAUCCUCAAAUUUCAUUUCGAAGUUUGACAUAAGAAUGAAUUAUCAUCAGUCAAAUGUCUUUCUCCAAGAUCGGUUAAAUUCUUUUCAUCGUUGGCUCAACAUUCCAUUUUUCAUCUCGGAGUAUCUCAAGUGGUGUUUUUCAUCGUCAUUCUCAGAUUUUGAAGACCGAAGAAGAGUUCCUCCUAAAUCCUUAUCCGUUCUCUUGAAGAUUCAUGGUGCUAGCUUGUUGCCAUCCUCUCAUAAUUAUUUUCGAUGGUGAGAAUACUUUUCACCCAUCAGGAGAUAUUCAAGGGUAUUUUCAGUUCGAUUAUCCGGAGCCCAUCAUUUCAGAAGACUUGUUCAUUCUCAGCUUUCAGCUCUCGUUCCCCAAAUCUCACUGGUGCAUCAUUCAAUAUUCUUUAACCAACGCGUGAUCUCUUCGUUCUCAUGUAUCUAAAUCCUAGCAAGUAUUUUCAUUCAUUUGCUAAUUCCUCCCGGUGUUUCUUUAUCUUCUCUUCGUUCAUUUUUAAUUCUUACGGUGGUUCGUUAAAGAUUUCUCUUCCUUAUCAAUUCAUUCGUGGUUUCAAUUCUACCGGUGGUUCGUUGAAGACCUUCCUCAAGUUUGUGCUAUAUCUAUAUUAAUCCUUUUUACGAGAAUAAGUAGUAUGCCAAUUCCAUUGCUUGUCAUCAAUUUAAAUUGGUGAAGGAUAAGCAUAAUGUAAUUCUUAUUCUUGUUUCAUCCAUAUGUUAAUCUUUUCUUCCGAAGUUUGUUCAUGAUGAUUAUAUUCUUAGUUUCAAGUGCUCGUCUUUCUUUCCCGGAGUUCCAAGCUCUAAUUAUCACGGAGAUCCAUCUUAAUCAUUACAAGGUGUCACCUUGUGUUUCCGACUUCUCUUUAUUUUCGUUAUUCUUUUUUGUCUACCGGAGUUCUUCAUGAAGGUUCUACAUGUUGGUUCAUCAAGGAUUUAUAUCCCUUCUCCAAGUGUUCAUUGAGAUUCUUUUCUAAGGAGCUCAAGCAUUCUUCAUCUUGCUAUCUGGAGUGCAAUUCUUUCUAUCGUAUCAUUGGAGGUGGUAUUAUGUCAUUCUUGAUAAUUUGAGUUCAUGUUUCAUGAUUCACACGUUGUUAAGACUGAGAUAUUUUAAAUCCAUCAACCUCUUCGUUGGAGUUAUCUUGGGUUAUAUUUCACCUAAAGCCUUCCCUAAGGAUUGUUGCUAUUUAUGGUGCUCAUAAAGGACCCAAGUUCGUCUUUUAUCCUCCCGGUGAAAUAAGUUUUCUCGUCUCCUUGUUCAUAUCAGUCCAAUUCUUCUUCCCAUGAGUGGCAGGGUGUCACCUCAUAAUUUGAGAUGUAUUCCAUAAGACCAUAUCAAGAUUAUUCUUUUCGUUGUUGGGUUUUUUUUCCAACAACUCCGUUUGACCCUUCUCCUAAGGAUACCUUCUCAAGCUCUUUUGUGGCAGAAGUUGUUUUUUUCUCCAUUCUUUUAUUUAAAUUAUCUAUCUUGUAGUGGUGGAGUGUUGUGACGCCCCAAGACCGGAGCUUCAGAUGCCUUCCAUGUUUUCCGAGUUCCGUCGGGUGUUUUGUUUUGUCUGUUGCAUGCAUCAUUGCAUAUUUUGCGUUGCAUCAUGUCAUCAUGCCAUCAUGUCAUUUCUUUUCUUAACUCAACUAAAUAAAUGGCAUGGAUCUUUGAUCCAUUUAGAUCGAGGGAAGGGUGACUUCUCUUUAUAACAUAUCCUCCCGAUAUUAGGGAGCUAUAGUAAAUAUUUUUUUAAUUUGGAAUUCACCUUAACACACUUGCAUGUUAAAUCCCUUGGCCUUUUUCUUCUUCAACUGUUGACUCUCUAACCUUGCCAUUUAUUCUUUCAUCAUAUUCUGGAGCUCUACCAAAAUUGUCAACAUUUUUUGGAAACUCCUAAAACCUCGUCCUAGUUCAAACCCAUUUGAAUAAAAUUCAAAUGAGUUUGAAUUCUUAUCGUUCGAUCUGGCAUUUUCUAAUUUUCUCGGACCAAGCAUUUUUUUGUGAGUCUAAGAAAAUUAACCACAUGCCCUAAUUCUUCUUCCAACCUUCUUGUAAUGCCCUCGAUGCGGCUAUAUCUCCCACGUGUCGAAGCACGACUUAGAGGCAUAACCACAUUGAAAGCAAUGUCGCAAGUGAGGUAAUCCUCACACAACCCAUGUAAUAUAUAAGGGAACGAGAUAGAUAGUUGGCUUACAAUCGCCACUUCACACAAAUACAUGAAUAAAGCAUUACAUCAUCCAAAUACAAUCAGGGCCCGACUAUGGAGCCAAAAUAAAAGAAGAACCCCAAAUGCGACAAGGUCCCCGAUCGACCCCAACUGGGCUCCACUACUGAUCAACUAGAAAAAAACAACACAAAGGACAAGAUCUUCAUCGAGCUCCUCUGUGAGCUUGGUUGCAUCAUCUGCACGGUUCAACAGCACCUGCAAGCUGGUUUGGAAGUAUUUGUGAGCCACAGGGACUCAACAAUCUCGCACCCUGGCGAUCAAGACUAUUUAAGCUUAUAGGCAAGGUAAAGGUAUGAGGUGGAGCUGCAGCAAGCGACUAGCAUAUAUGGUGGCUAAACAUACGCAAAUGAGAGCGAGAAGAGAAGGCAAAGCACGGUCGAUAAAAUUAUGAUCAAGAAGUGAUCCUAUAGCAACCUACAUCAAGCAUAACUCCAACACCGUGUUCACUUCCCGGACUCCGCCGGAAAGAGACUAUCACGGUUACACACGCAGUUGAUUCAUUUUAAUUAAGUUAAGGUUCAAGUUAUCUACAACCGGACAUUAACAAAUUCCCAUCUGCCCAUAACCGUGGGCACGACUUUCGAAAGUUCAAAUCCCUGUAGGGGUGUCCCAACUUAGCCCAUGACAAGCUCUCAUGGUCAACGAAGGAAUAGACCUCCUCCCGAGACAUUCUGAUCAGACUCGGUAUCCCGGUUCUACAAGACAUCCUCGACAAUGGUAAAACAAGUCCAGCAAGACCACCCGCUGUGCCGACAAAUCCUGAUAGGAGCUGCACAUAUCUCAUUCUCAAGGCACACCAGAUAAGCUAAGCAUACAGGAGCCGACGUAACCCAAGUUGCCAAGGGAUGGCCCUGCACGGUGCUCUGGGUUGGACCAACACUCAGAGGAGCACUGGCCCAGGGGUUUAAUAAAGAUGACCCUUGGGCUGGCUGACCCAAGGGAAAGAAAAAGGCUAGGUGGCAAAUGGUAAAACCAAUGUUGGGCCUUGCUGGAGGAGUUUUAUUCAAGGCGAACUGUCAAGGGGUUCCCAUUAUAACCCAACCGCGUAAGGAACGCAAAAUCCGGGAACAUAACACCGAUAUGACGGAAACUAGGGCGGCAAGAGUGGAACAAAACACCAGGCAUAAGGCCGAGCCUUCCACCCUUUACCAAGUAUAUAGAUGCAUUAAUUAAAAUAAGAUAUAUUGUGAUAUCCCAACAAGUAAACAUGUUCCAACAAGGAACAACAUCUCCAUGUUCCAACAAGGGACAACCUUCAAUCUUCACCUGCAACUAACAACGCUAUAAGAGGGGCUGAGCAAAGCGGUAACACAGCCAAACAACGGUUUGCUAGGAAAAGGUGGGUUUGAGGCUUGGUUCAACAAUAUGGGAGGCAUCAUAAGCAAGUGGUAGGUAUCGCAGCAUAGGCAUAGCAAAAGAGCGAGCAACUAAGCAAGCAAAGAUAGAAGUGAUUUCGAGGGUAUGAUCAUCUUGCCUGAGAACCCGCAAGGAAGAAGAACGAGUCCAUGAAGAAGACAAACGGACGAGGUCGAACGGAUCCUCACAAAUGCGACGUUAACGGAACUAACCCGAAGAAGCAACACCGGAAAGAAGCAAACAACAUAGUAAACAACCAACACAUAAGCAUGGCAUGAUGCACAACCAAGUAUGAUGCAUGUCCGGUUUAAAUAUGCAUGACAUGGCAAAGUGCAACAACCAAAACUACAAAUUAAGUGGAGCUCAAUAUGCAACGUGUUGCAUAUUGACGGAACACCACGUUCUCUCUCGGUUAUGUACCCACCAAUAUUAAAUAUUGUUAAACAUGGCAAGAGGGUGAAGCAAAAGAAAACUACCCAUCUAGUCCAAUUUAAACAAGGCCGGGAACAACAAACAACAAUUCCGGAAACUCCUCAUGUGCAUAUGUUAGGUUAGGUCCUAUUCUGCCCAAAACCAUAUUUUAGAGUUAUUAGGCAUGCAAAACAAAGUCAACAUGAUAAACUAGGCAAAAUCCUACCCCAUUUACAUAUAAAGUUUGUUAGGUUUGGAGCUAUGGUUAAAUAGUUAUGAAUUAAAUCAUUUUAGCAUGGCAUAGGGGCAAAUUAAAACAAACAACAUUUUAAGCAUUUCAAACAUGGAUGGAAAAGACAUAUUAUUAAAGUAGACACAAUUCUAAGCAAGUUUCAUAUAUAAAACAUUUUAAUCCGAUGCACGGUUAGUGAGUUAUUAAAUGCAUGAACCAGGGGGACUUUUCUGUAAAACUGCAGUCUCAGGAAAUUAGCAAAAUUCACAAGACCAGGAAAAAAACACAACGGGCCGAAUCUGGAACAGAGCAUGGGCGCAGGAUAAUAUGCAGCGCACAGGGCGAGGGAAAAAGGUGGCUUCUCGCAUUGGGCCAACGGGCCGAAGGGGAAGCAGAGCGGCGGGCCGGCGGAUCUGGCGAAGAGGAGCUAGGCCUUGGAGACCGAGCGGGGAGCUGGGCCAGGCCAGGGCGUGCGGUGGCCCAUGCGGGCGAGAGGGGCGAGCGUCGGCGUCGUCCUUCUCCCGUGCGCCUCAUGGGCAGAAGAACAAGACGGCGGCGGCAUGACAAAACUCCGGCGACGGCGGGGUUCGGCGAAGCUGGAGAGGCCGGGAACGGGUCGCAGGGCCACGGAUCCGGUGGAUCCCGGCCGGAUCUGGCGAAGACGGGGCCAACGACGAGCUCCCUGGGCGGCGGCAGCGGGCACCUGCGAGAGAGAGGGAGAAUUUAGAGGGAGAGGCCGAAGGAGGGAGGAGAAGGAAGUAGAGAGGCGGGGCGACGAGGCUGUCUUUCUGGAGGUCUCCGGCGAUGGGCGGCGCUCGUCACCGGCGAGCGCGGACGACGGGUCAACGCGGCGGAGGAGCUCGGAUCGGGAUCUCCUCUCCCGAUCUGGAGCUCGGGGAGCACGGGCGGCGCGGUGCGGGCCUCAGAGCCCAGAUUGGGGCCCGGGCGGGCCUGGAGCGGGCCUGGCGGCGCGGGGCGAUGUGGGGCGCGGGGAGGCGACGUGGCAGCUUCCCGUUGGCUGCGGGCGUCCUGCGUGGUGGCGGCUGGCCACCAGGAUGGCGCCAAGUGGCAGGGACGAGGUGGCCGGCGGUGGAAAUAGAGGAGAGGAGGUGGGAGGCGGCUGGCUGACGAUUGGGGGCGCGGAUUUUGAGGAGGAGGAAGGAGAAGGCCAAAAAUGGCAAGGGGGGCUGCUAUAUAUAGCAGGAGGAGCUAGGGUUGGGGGUUUUAGUCCGUUCUGGAGCCGUUCAAUCUUGAUCGGACAACCCGGAGUGGAGGGGGGUUAGAUAGGUGGGCUAGUGGGCUGUGAAGAUAGGUUGGGGUGAGAUGAGAGGAGAGGAGUGCAGCCCGGCAACUGUUUCCGGAGACCGAAAACGUCUGACAUUAGACCGACUAUAUUGUCGCUAUAGUUUAACGGUUGGGCUAUCAAACGAACUCUGAAUGCGAUGAAACUUGACAGGCGGUCUAUCUACACUAUAAUAAGACCGCACGCCAACUUUCGACCCAUUCCGAGAACAUUUUUCCGGCCACUUAUAAAAUGCUAUUUCGGACAUGCCGCGGGCGCGUGCAAGUGUGUCUCGGCUCAGAACGGACAACAGAGAGAACAAGGAGGCCGGGACGCAUGCAAGUUUUAAAACAUGAUGAUGUAAUGCACAUGAUGGCAUGAUAAGAUGCAACACGCAAGCAAAUGACAUGGUAAUGACAGCGAAUAACUGGAAGACACCUGGCACAUCGGUCUCAGGGUGUUACACUUAUCUUGUCUUCUUUCCUCCUAGUUCUCUGUUAAUGUAAAGAGAAAGGAGGAAGAGAGAAACCCGGCCGCCACUUGUGUCCAGUCGGACCAAUUUGGCCGAAGGCCUAGGCUACCGCAAGCCCUUUAGCCAGGCCGGCCUAUUCUGCUUCAGGGCCUGCUAGACCCAGCCGCCUCCCACUAGUGUCGCAACCCUAGGCCGACCAAAACCAUCUCCUUCUUGAUCCCUCUCUCCCUCCUAGUGCCGUUACCAGGAGACCCACGCUCAACCCCCUCCUCUCGCCGUGAUCCUUUCUCCCUCUCUCGAUCUCCCAUGCCUGUACCUCCCAUCUCCCUCUCGUGCCCUAUGAUGCAACCCCGUCGUCGUGCACCACCUUUAGCACCUCCAGCCGCCUCCCAUGGCGCCCUCACCCGCGUGCGAGACCUCCCCGUCGCCAGCACCGCUGCCUUGUGGUGCCUGAGUCCUCGUGCGCCUCCCUACUUCGUCCGGCCGCAGCACCGCCAAGCUCCUCCAACCGCCCCUCCCGGCGACCGGCAGGUCGCUGCCGUCCGUCUCCUCCACUUGGAGCCUGCGCAGCCACGCGCCCAGAGGCCACCGCCCACUCCUCCCUCGAUCCUGCCGGAUUCAAGCGCCGCGAAGCAGCUCCCUCUCCUGCGCGUCUCGCUGCUGUCUCCCCGCAUCGGACCUGGCCUCCACCACCUCGCCUUCAUCUACCUCCCCGCCAGGGUCCCUCGCAGUCUCCACCUCGUUGCCUUGCCUCGUCGCUGGCCCUGCUCCACCUCGUCGCCUUGCAUCCGCAGAACCAGGCCACGGCCGCGCCAUGGCCGCCUCCCUCCUUUGCACCCGGCCUCGACUGGAGUCGCCCCUGUCAGCAACCAGCACGACCACGAGGCUGCCCUCUCCUUCCCCUGCACAGGAGCUCGCAGCUACCACCAUCGCCUCCUUGUUGUUGGCAUCCUGAGGCCCUUUUGUUAUUUUGUGUUGGACGCGGCAAGAUCGACUACAACGACACCAAGUUCCACCACCGGCAAGACCCGGACUCCGAAUGAAAGUACAACUACAAACCCGAAGAAGUCAGAUGCAUCAAGUCCCCGAAGAGACCCGUUUUUUCGUCAAGUUCGACUACAUUGUGACGUGUCAAGUACCUAUACCGUGUCUCCGGAAUCGCCAAGUACCACUUCGAUUCCAGAACGCGACAAGUACCACGACGCCUGGAGUCCUCGGAUCCGUCAAGUUCCAUUAUGAGAUAUACAACUACCGUCGACCUCGAAGACCUCGGAUUCACCAAGUUCUCACGAUGACAAGUGUGACCCUUAGGAUGCGCCAAGUUCGUCCACACAAAAACGCCAAGUACCACUCAUGUCAGCAAGACCCGCAAGUCGGAGCCCGAAUGAUCAACUUCUCGUGGACCGUGUAUAAUUACCGUCGCCCCGAAGACGCCGGAGUCAUCAAGCACCUCUCCGAACGAACGUGAACGACUACCAUCGCCGAGAUCGCGACAACCUCCACCAUCGACCCUAGAGCGUGCAAGAACGACUACUUCCACUAUCAUCGUCGCGAGAACGUCUACUUCCUCUACUUUGCACCAAACGAGAACUGUCCCGCCUGCACGCUUCGAAGGUAUAACCCUGAGACGACCGCCCGUGAACGAAUGCAUGUGUGAUGUAUGAGAUGCUCGUGUUUGCUCUGUGCUCGAAUUGUCGGUGCACGUUGCCCCUCUUUUGCCUGUCACCAUCGUCGACUCAUGGGACACCCGGUAUCCGGGAGUGCCCCACCAUCUUUUGCACGCAUCCGCACACUUCUCCUUUGCAUCGAUAUCUCAAUCGAGUUACCGGAACCGGGACAUUGCCGUGGCACCGUUUCAGUAUCGUUGUCGUGGCACCCCAUUCCUUUCCACCACGGUGACAAAUGCUUCAUAAUGCUCUUGUCAACUUGUAAUAUAAAUUGCAUAAACUUGUUCAUGUCAUCCGCAUCAUGAUAACAACAAUUAAAAUGUUUAGAUUGUUGUUGCAAUAAAUUACUAAGGGACACGGUGUUGGAGUUAUGCUUGACGUAGGUUGUUCUAGGAUCACUUCUUGAUCAUAGUUGUUCGACUGUGCUUUGCUUUCUCUUCUCGCUCUCUUUUGCAAAUAGGUUAGCCACCAUAUAUGCUAGUCGCUUGCUGCAGCUCCACCCCAUACCUUUACCUUACCCAUAAGCUUAAAUAGUCUUGAUCGCGAGGGUGUGAGAUUGCUGAGUCCCUGUGACUCACAAAUACUUCCAAAACCAGCUUGCAGGUGCCGAUGAGUUCGUGCAGAUAACGCAACGAAGCUCAGGAGGAGCUCGAUGAAGAUCUUGUCCUUUGUGUUGUUGCGUUUUCCAUUUGAUCAGUAGUGGAGCCCAGUUGGGACGAUCAGGGAUCUGUGUAGCAUUUGGGGUAGUCUUCUUUUAUUUUGGUUCCGUAGUCGGACCUUGAGUGUAUCUGGAUGAAUGUAAUGCUUUAUUCAUAUAAUUGUAUGAAGUGGCGAUUGUAAUCCAACUAUGUAUCUCUUUCCCUUAUGUAUUACAUGGGUUGUGUGAAGAUUACCUCACUUGCGACAUUGCUUUCAAUGCGGUUAUGCCUCUAAGUCGUGCUUCGACACGAGGGAGAUAUAGCCGCAUCGAGGGCGUUACACGCGUAGGGGGUCCGGAUCGGAACUCAGGGGUUGCGACCCAUUCAGGGUCGCACGGCUCGGUGAUGUAAAACCACCCCGAUUGCCACCCCUUUAGGGACUCCACGAAGGAGCCCUCGGGCCAUAGGACAUUGGGCAUCUUGCCCACCAUGGCGCCUCCGCACUCCGCCUGAGUGCCGCGCACCACCUUCGGCUUGACAUUCAAAGUCUUGAGCCAUAGGCGGAAAUGGGGGCGGAUGCAGAAGAAAGCCUCGCACACGACGAUAAACGCCAAGAUAUUGAGGACAAAGUUUGGGGCCAGAUCGUGGAAAUCCAGGCCAUAUUAGAACAUGAGCCCCCGGACAAAUGGGUGGAGAGGGCAGCCCAGUCCGCGGAGGAAAUGGGGGAGCAACACCACCCUCUCAUGGGGCCUGGGGGUGGGGAUGAGCUGCCCCUCUUCGGGAAGCCGGUGCGCAAUGUCGUUAGACAAGUAUCCGGCCUUCCUCAGUUUUUUUAUGUGUCCCUCCGUGACGGAGGAGACCGUCCACUUGCCUCCUGCUCCAGACAUGGCUGGAGAAGGUUGAGGUGGGGUGUGCGGACUUGGGCGCUGGAGCUCGAGUGCGCGGAAAUGGAUAGACAAAGGAGGAAGAAGGCGUGGAUGAAAAGGUGGAUCCUUAUCCCCUUAUAUGGGCGUACGCGACUAUGCGCCCCCACCAGCCUGGUAAAACUCGCUUAUCUCCCAAGCGCCAUAGUCAAUGGUGCGGUUGGGUUACCCACACCCGUAUUGAUGAGAAUCCCAGAAUAAGGGGACAUGAUCUCUGAUUUAACAAGACGUGCCGAGGAAACCGCCUCGCUAAACACGCUGAGGUGGGACAAUAAAACAAUUCGAAUAAAGACUUGGCUAUGGUGUGAUGUCAUGCUACGGAAUACGCCAGCAGAUUAGAUUUGUGUAAAUAUUAUUCUCUCUAUGGAAAUAUGUGGAAACUUAUUUUUGCAGAGCCGGACACUACCUUUGUGUUCAAAAUCUUCUAUGAAGUACUUGGAGGAGGAACCCGCCUUGCAAUGCCGAAGACAAUCUGCGCGCCGGACUCGUCGUCAUUGAAUCCUGGUUCAGGGGCUACUGAGGGAGUCCUGGAUUAGGGGGUGUCCGGAUGGCCGGACUAUACCUUCGGCCAGACUCCUGGACUAUGAAGAUACAAGAUUGAAGACUUCGUCCCGCGUCCAGAAGGGACUUUCCUUGGCGUGGAAGGCAAGCUUGGUGAUACGGAUAUGUAGAUCUCCUACCGUUGUAACCGACUCUGUGUAACCCUAGCCCUCUCCGGUGUCUAUAUAAAUCGGAGAGUUUUAGUCCGUAGGACGAACAACAAUCAUACCAUAGGCUAGCUUCUAGGGUUUAGCCUCUCUGAUCUCGUGGUAGAUCUACUCUUGUACUACCCAUAUCAUCAAUAUUAAUCAAGCAGGAUGUAGGGUUUUACCUCCAUCAAGAGGGCCCGAACUUGGGUAAAACAUCAUGUCCCCUGCCUCCUAUUACCAUCCGACCUAGACGCACAGUUCGGGACCCCCUACCCGAGAUCCGCCGGUUUUGACACCGACAAUUACCUUGUGAUGCCAUGUAAUGUCUUGUGGUGAGUGGCAUGAGCUUGCAAAGUUGCUAUCAUGAAUCUGUUUCUGCCAUGUCAUGUUUUUCUUCCAAGUCUGAAACUGAUCAUAUCACUUGUCAUGUUUGCAUGGGUGCUACCUCAUUUUCCAUACAUCUUUGGUUAAAGUUCAGUAAGGGAGUUUUGUUCUUUGUCUUUAUUACUAGCGUGCCAUGCCUUUGUUUGCCAUGAUAUGUUCCUAUAACAUGUUGUUUUCUAGCUCUUAACAUUGCUACCUGAUGUUGUUUAUACCAUGUUUAGUAUUUUCUCUAAGUCUAUGAAGUUGUUAUCAUUUGCAAUUUUGCCAUGCUAUUUUAAGCUUGUUCUAGUGAGUUCUAGCAGGAGCUCAGUGUUCAUGAUUUGUAGAGCUUCACUUGUACUUUACUGUCGUGUGCUUUGUUGCUAUGUUGGAGUGUUGUAGCAUAGUUUCUUGUUGCAUCUUAAGUGUUAUGAUGUUGUUAAGCGUAGUUUUGCAUCAUUCUUGUUUUGCUCGUGAUUUGCAAAUCGUGCAUCCGUUUCCAGUGAUCCUUAUAGAUUUUGAGCAAAAUCACCCCAUCUUUCUAGCGGCAUGCUUGGUUUGCCAACUUGAUUCCUUUAUCAUAUUUUCCCUUCCGGAGUACCCUUAUGCAUUGCACAUCAUACCUUGCAUUCCAUGCCAUGUCUUGCAUCAUGUUGCUUGUGCAUUGCACCGCGAUUGAUUGUUGUUCUGUUGCUUGUGUUCUUGCUUUGGGUAGAGCCUAGAGACGAGUUCAUGAAUGAGGAACCUAUUGAUUAUGUUUCCAAGGAGCAAGCUUUUGACAUCUCUAAGAACUCUGUAGGCAAGAUGAUCAUCACCCUCGAUAUCACUUCUAUCUUUGCUUCCUAGUUGUUCAUUCUAUCGCUAUGUUGCGCUACCUACCACUUGUUUAUCAUGCCUCCCAUAUUGCCAAGUCAAACCGCUAACCCACCUUCCUAGCAAACCGUUGUUUGGCUAAGUUACAGCUUUUGCUCAGCCCCUCUUAUAGCGUUGCUAGUUGCAGGUGCCUUGCAGGUUGUUCCAUGUUGGAACAUGGAUAUGUUGGGAUAUCACAAUAUCUCUUAUUUUAAUUGAUGCAUCUAUAUACUUGGAAAAGGGUGGAAGGCUUGGCCUUUUGUUCGGUGUUUUGUUUCACUCUUGUCGCCCUAGUUUCUGUCAUACCGGUGUUAUGUUCCUUGAUUUUGCGUUCCUUACGCGGUUGGGGUUAUGGGACCCCCUUGACAGUUCACUUUGAAUAAAACUCCUCCAACAAGGCCCAACCUUGGUUGUAACAUUUUUCUAACAACAACCUAAAUUUUUUCCUAGGGAGUAAUUAACCCGAGGAUCAUCUUUAUUCAACCCCCCCGGGCCAGUGCUCCUAUGAGUGUUGGUCUGAACCGAGUAGACUACGAGGCCACGUUGGGGAAACAUGAUGGUUGGUUUUACUCGUAGGAUGUCUCAUCCGGUGUGCCCUGAGAACGAGAUAUGUGCAGCUCCUAUCUGGAUUUGUCGCCGCAUCGGGCGGUCUUGUUGGUCUUGUUUUACCAUUGCCGAAAUGUCUUGUAACCGGGAUUCCGUGAGUGAUCGGGUCUCUCCGGGAGAAGGAAUAUCCUUCGUUGAUCGUGAGAGCUUGUGAUGGGAUAAGUUGGGACACCCCUGCAGGGUAUAAACUUUCCAGAGUCAUGCCCGCGGUUAUGUGGCAGAUGGGAAUUUGUUAAUAUCCGGUUGUAGAGAACUUGACACUUGACUUAAUUAAAAUGCAUCAACUGCGUGUGUAGGCAUGAUGGUCUCUUUUCGGCGGUGUCCGGGAAGUGAACAUGGUUGGGUUAUGUAUGAUCGUAAGUAGUUCAGGAUCACUUCUUGAUCGCUUCUAGUCUUACGACCGUUACAUAGUUUCUCUUCUUACACUUAUACUCGUAUGUUAGCCACCAUAUUUGCUUAGCGCUUGCUGCAACUCCACCUCAUAACCACAUCCUACCCAUUAGCUUAAAUAGUCUUGAUCUCAUAGGUUUUGAGAUUGUUGAGUCCUUGUGACUCACAGAUACUACCAAAACAGUUGCAGGUGUUGAUGAUACCAGCGCAGGAGAUGCUACUGAACUCAAGUGGGAGUUCAACGAGGACCUUGGCCCUUACUACGUGUCUUUUCCUGAUGAUCAGUAGUGGUGCCCAGUUGGGACGAUCGGGGAUCAAGCAUUUGGGGUUAUCUUCUUUUCAUUUGGAUUUGUCCAUAGUCAUACUAUGUGUGUACUCUGAAUGAUAUAUGAACUAUUUGAUCAUUGUGUGACAUGGCGAUUGUAAGCCAACUAUCUAUUUAUCCCUUUCUUGUUCAUUACAUGGGAUUAUGUGAAGAUGACCCUUCUUGCGACAAAACCAACAUGCGGUUAUGCCUCUAAGUCGUGCCUCGGCACGUGGGAGAUAUAGCCGCAUCUUGGGCAUUACAAGUUGGUAUCAGAGCCAUCCCCGACUUAGGAUCCCCCUGCUUGAUCGAAUCGCUAACGUUGUUGAGCCUAGAACAAAAUGUUUGAGUCUUAGGAUUAUAUAUAUUGGAGAGUAGGGUUAUUUUUACGCCUUAGUCCCCUUCAUCGCUCUGGUGAGGCCUCCUGAUGUAGAUGUUUUGACUUUCCUCUACUCAUUUUUGCUAUAAAAAAUUAGGAUCAUGCGGGUAUCUUGGAAUCAUUUCGGUAUUCUUGUGACAAGAACAUUGUUCUUGGUGCAUCCUGACAUUUAGGGGUUGUGGCAGUGUCCCGGUGAAUUGAGCUCCGAGGUGUUGUUGUCACAAUUUUAUCGUUGCAGUUCUGGAAUACCUGAGUUCGCCGACAUUGAAAAUAUAUUUUAUGCAGUUAGUGGUGAGAUAACCUCGAUGCCAACCAGUACUGGGGAGCGAGUUCGGGAGUAUUGCCAUAGCUUGUAUAAAGGAUGCUUUUCAAAGGUUGAGGUACAUGAUUUCCGGAGUUUUCUUGGUUAUGUGUUGACGGAUGGAAACAGUUGGAGCGUAGGGCUUGUUAGUUGUGUAGGGGUACGCAGUCAUUUCAAAAAUUUCCUACGCACAUGCAAGAUCAUGGUGAUGCAUAGCAACGAGAGGGGAAGAGUGUUGUCCAUGUACCCUCAUAGACCGUAAGCGGAAGCGUUAUGACAAUGCGGUUGAUCUAGUCUUACGUCUUCACAAUCGACUGAUCCUAGUACCGAAAGUACGGCACCUCCGCGAUCUACACACGUUCGGCUCGGUGACGUCCCAUGAACUCUCGAUCCAACUGAGUGUCGAGGGAGAGCUUCGUCAGCACGACGGCGUGACGACAGUGAUGAUGAUGCUACCGUCGCAGGGCUUCGCCUAAGCACUACGAUGAUAUGACCGACGUGGAUUAUGGUGGAGGGGAGCACCGCACAUGGCUAAGGGAUCAAUGAUCAACUUGUGUGUCUUUGGGGUGCCCCCUGGACACGUAUAUAAAGGAUGGAGGGAGGAGGAGGCCGGCCCUCAUAGGGCGCGCCCAAAGUGUGGAGUCCUACUAGGACUCCCUAGUCCUAGUAGGAUUCCACCUCCCAUGUGGAAUAGGAAAAAGGGAAGGGAGAAGGAAAAGGAAGGAAGGGGCGCCCCCUUUCCCUAGUCCAAUUCGGACCAGUCCAUGGGGAAGGGGUGCGGCCAGCCUUGAGGCCUUUCUCUCCUUUCCCGUAUGGCCCAUUAAGGCCCAAUACGAAUUCCCGUAACUCUCCGGUACUUCGAAAAAUACCCGAAUCACUCAGAACCUUUCCGAUGUCCGAAUAUAGCCUUCCAAUAUAUCGAACUUUACGUCUCGACCAUUUCGAGACUCCUCGUCAUGUCCCCGAUCUCAUCCGGGACUCCGAACAAACUUCGGUCAUCAAAUCACAUAACUCAUAAUACAAAUCGUCACAGAAUGUUAAGCGUGCGGACCCUACGGGUUCGAGAACUAUGUAGACAUGACCGAGACUCAUCUCCGGUCAGUAACCAAUAGCAUAACCUGGAUGCUCAUAUUGGUUCCUACAUAUUCUACGAAGAUCUUUAUCGGUCAAACCGCAUAACAACAUACGUUGUUCCCUUUGUCAUCGGUAUGUUACUUGCCCGAGAUUUGAUCGUCGGUAUCUCAAUACCUAGUUCAAUCUCGUUACCGGCAAGUCUCUUUACUCAUUCCGUAAUGCAUCAUCCCACAACUAACUCAUUAGUCACAUUGCUUGCAAGACUUAUAGUGAUGUGCAUUACCGAGAUGGACCAGAGAUACCUAUCUGACAAUCGAAGUGACAAAUCCUAAUCUCGAUCUAUGCCAACUCAACAAGUACCAUUGGAGACACCUGUAGAGCACCUUCAUAAUCACCCAGUUACGUUGUGAUGUUUGGUAGCACACAAAGUGUUCCUCCAGUAUCUAGGAGUUGCAUAAUCUCAUAGUCAUAGGAACAUGUAUAAGUCAUGAAGAAAGCAAUAGCAAUAUACUAAACGAUCAAGUGCUAAGCUAACAGAAUGGGUCAAGUCAAUCACAUCAUUUUAUAAUGAUGUGAUCUCGUUAAUCAAAUGAAAACUCAUGUUUAUGGCUAGGAAACUUAACCAUCUUUGAUUCAACGACCUAGUCAAGUAGAGGCAUACUAGUGACACUCUGUUUGUCUAUGUGUCCACACAUGUACUAAGUUUUCGGUUAAUACGAUUCUAGCAUGAAUAAUAAACAUUUAUCAUGAAAUAAGGAAAUAAAUAAUAACUUUAUUAUUGCCUCUGGGGCAUGUUUUCUUCAGUCUCCCACUUGCACUAGAGUCAAUAAUCUAGUUCACAUCGCCAUGUGAUUUAACACCAAUAGUUCACAUCACCAUGUGAUUAACACCCAUAGUUCACGUCGCCACGUGACCAACACUCAAAGCGUUUACUAGAGUCAGUAAUCUUAGUUCACAUCGCCAUGUGAUUAACACCCAAAGAGUACUAAGGUGUGAUCAUGUUUUGCUUGUGAGAGAAGUUUAGUUAAUAGGUCUGCCAUAUUCAGAUCCGUAUAUAUUUUGCAAAUUUCUAUGUCAGCAAUACUCUGCAUGGAGCUACUCUAGCUAAUUGCUCCCACUUUCAAUAUGUAUCCAGAUUGAGACUUAGAGUCAUCUGGAUCAGUGUCAAAACUUGCAUCGACGUAACCCUUUACGACGAACAUUUUGUCACCUCCGUAAUCGAGAAACAUAUCCUUAUUCCACUAAGGAUAAUUUUGACCGUUGUCCAGUGAUCUACUCCUAGAUCACUAUUGUACUCCCUUGCCAAAAUCAGUGUAGGGUAUACAAUAGAUCUGGUAGACAGCAUGGCAUACUUUAUAGAACCUAUGGCUGAGGCAUAGGAAAUGACUUUCAUUCUCUUUCUAUCUUCUGCCGUGGUUGGGCUUUGAGUCUUACCCAAUUUCACACCUUGCAACACAGGCAAGAACUCCUUCUUUGACUGUUCCAUUUGAGCUACUUCAAAAUCUUGUCAAGGUAUGUACUCAUUGAAAAUAUAUCAAGCAUCUUGAUCUAUCUCUAUAGAUCUUGAUGCUCAAUAUGUAAGUAGCUUCACCGAGGUCUUUCUUUGAAAAACUCCUUUCAAACAUUCCUUUAUGCUUUCCAAAAAAUUAUACAUUAUUUCUGAUCAACAAUAUGUCAUUCACAUAUACUUAUCAGAAAUGUUGUAGUGCUUCCACUCACUUUCUUGUAAAUACAAGCUUCACCACAAGUCUGUAUAAAACCAUAUGCUUUGAUCAGUUUAUCAAAGCAUAUAUUCCAACUCUGAGAUGCUUGCACCAGUCCAUAAAUGGAUCGCUGGAGCUUGAUCACUUUGUUAGCACAUUUAGGAUCGACAAAACCUUCUGGUUGCAUCAUAUACAACUCUUCUUUAAGAAAUCCAUUAAGGAAUGCAGUUUUGAGAUCCAUUUGCCAGAUUUCAUAAAAUGCGGCAACUGCUAACAUGAUUCUGACAGACUUUUAAGCAUCGAUACGAGUGAGAAAAUCUCAUCGUAGUCAACGCCUUCAGAUUGUCGGAAAAAAAUUGCGACAGUUCAAGCUUUGUAGAUAGUAACACUACUAUCAGCGUCUGUCUUCCUCUUGAAGAUCCAUUUAUUCUCAAUGACUCACCGAUCAUCGGGCAAGUCAAUCAAAGUCCAUACUUUGUUCUCAUACAUGGAUCCCAUCUCAGAUUUCACGGCCUCAAGCCAUUUUGCGGAAUCUGGGCUCAACAUCGCUUCCUCAUAGUUUGUAGGUUCGUCAUGGUCUAGUAACAUGGCUUCUAGAACAGGAUUACCAUACCACUUUGGUGUGGACCGUACUCUAGUUGACCUACGAGGUUCUGUAGUAACAUGAUCUGAAGUUUCAUGAUCAUCAUCAUUAACUUCCUCACUAAUUGGUGUAGGAAUCACUGGAACUGAUUUCUGUGAUGAACUACUUUCCAGUUUUGGGAGAAGGUACAAUUACCUCAUCAAGUUGUACUUUCCUCCCACUCACUUCUUUCGAGAGAAACUCCUUCUCUAGAAAGGAUCCAUUCUUAGCAACAAAAUAUCUUGCCUUCGGAUCUGUGAUAGAAGGUGUACCCAACAGUUUCUUUUGGGUAUCCUAUGAAGACGCACUACUCCGAUUUGGGUUCGAGCUUAUCAGUUUGAAACUUUUUCACAUAAGCAUCACAACCCCAAACUUUAAGAAACGACAGCUUUGCUUUCUUGCCAAACCAUAGUUCAUACGGUGUCAUCUCAAUGGAUUUAGAUGGUGCUCUAUUUAAGUGAAUACAACUGUCUCUAAUGCAUAACCCCAAAACGAUAGUGGUCAAUCGGUAAGAGACAUCAUAUAUCGCACCAUAUCCAAUAAAGUACGAUUACAACGUUCGGACACACAAUUAUGUUGUGGUGUUCCAGGUGGCGUGAGUUGCGAAACUAUUCCACAUUGUUUCAAAUGAAGACCAAACUCGUAACUCAAAUAUUCUCCUCCACGAUCAGAUCGUAGAAACUUUAUUUUCUUGUCACGAUGAUUUUCCACUUCACUCUGAAAUUCUACGAACUUUUCAAAUGUUUCAGACUUAUGUUUCAUUAAGUAGAUAUACCCAUAUCUGCUCAAAUCAUCUAUGAAGGUCAGAAAAUAACGAUACCCACCGCGAGCCUCAACACUUACCGGAUCGCAUACAUCAGUAUAUAUUAUUUCCAAUAAGUCAGUUGCUCGCUCCAUUGUUCCGGAGAACGGAGUCUUAGUCAUCUUUCCCAUGAGGCUUGGUUCGCAAGCAUCAAGUGAUUCCAAAAGUCCAUCAGCAUGGAGUUUCUUCAUGCGCUUUACACCAACAUGACCUAAACGGCUGUGCCACAUUGUAACGCCCUCGAUGCGGCUAUAUCUCCCACGUGUCGAAGCACGACUUAGAGGCAUAACCACAUUGAAAGCAAUGUCGCAAGUGAGGUAAUCUUCGCAAACAACCCAUGUAAUACAAUAGGGGAAAAGAUACAUAGUUGGCUUACAAUCGCCACUUCACACAAUGACAUGAAUAAAGCAUUACAUCAACCAGAUACAAUCUAGGUCCGACUAUGGAACCAAAAUAAAAGAAGAACCCCAAAAGCGACAAGGUCCCCGAUCGACCCCAACUGGGCUGCACUACUGAUCAACUAGAACGAAACAACACAAAGGACAAGAUCUUCAUCGAGCUCCUCCUUGAGCUUGGUUGCAUCACCUGGAAUGGCAUCAUCGGCACCUGCAAGCUGGUUUUGGAAGUAUCUGUGAGCCACGGGAACUCAGCAAUCUCGCACCCUCGCGAUCAAGACUAUUUAAGCUUAUGGGUUAGGUAAAGGUAUGAGGUGGAGCUGCAGCAAGCGGCUAGCAUAUAUGGUGGAUAACAAACGCAAAUGAGAGCGAGAAGAGAAGGCAAAAGCACGGUCGAACAACUAUAAUCAAGAGGUGAUCCUAGACAACCUACGUCAAACAUAACUCCAACACCGUGUUCACUUCCCGGACUCCGCCGGAAGGAGACCAUCACGGUUACACACGCGGUUGAUGUAUUUUAAUUAAGAUAAACUUCAGGUUUUCUACAACCGGACAUUAACAAAUUCCCAUAUUCCCAUAACUGCGGGCACGGCUUUCAGAAGUUCAAAUCCCUGCAGGGGUGUCCCAACUUAGCCCAUCACAAGCUCUCACGGUCAACGAAGGAUAUUCCUUCUAGCGGGAAGACCCGAUCAGACUCGGAAUCCCGGUUACAAGACAUUUCGACAAGAUAAAACUAAACCAGCAACACCGCCCGAAUGUGCCGACAAAUCCCGAUAGGAGCUGCACAUAUCUUGUUAUUGGGGCACACCGGAUUGUCAAAACUUCCGGUAGGCCAGCCCAGAUUUGCCCCUGGUGGCGACCGGCGGCUAACGAGGUGGACCAACACUCAGAGGAGCACUGGCCCGGGGGUUUAAUAUAAAGCUGACCCUUGAGUCCGCGAAACCCAAGGGAAAAAGAGGCUAGGUGGCAAAUGGUAACAAUGUUGGGCAUUGCUGGAAGAGUUUUAUUCAAGGCGAACUGUCAAGGGGUUCCCAUUAUUACCCAACCGCGUAAGGAACGCAAAAUCCGGGAACAUAACACCGAUAUGACGGAAACUAGGGUGGCAAGAGUGGAACAAAACACUAGGCAUAAGGCCGAGCCUUCCACCCUUUACCAAGUAUAUAUAUGAAUUAAGUAAAUAAGCGAUAUUGUGAUAUCCCAACAUGGAAACAAUGUUCCAUCAAGGAACGAUCUCCAUGUUCCAACAAGGAACAAACUUCAGUCUUCACCUGCAACUAACAACACUAUAAGAGGGGCUGAGCAAAGCGGUAACAUAGCCAAACAAUGGUUUGCUAGGACAAGGUGGGUUAGAGGCUUGGUUCAACAAUAUAGGAGGCAGGGUAAUCAAGUGGUAGGUAUCGCAGCAUAGGCAUAGCAAAAGAGCGAGCAACUAGCAAGCAAAGAUAGAAGUGAUUUCGAGGGUAUAAUCAUCUUGCCUGAGAUCCCGCAAGGAAGAAGAACGAGUCCAUGAAGAAGACAAACGGACGAAGUCGAACGGAUCCUCACAAACGCGAUGUUACCGGAACCAACCCGAAGAAGCAAACACCGGAAAGAAGCACACAACAUAGUAAACAACCAACACAUGAACAUGGUAUGAUAUGCGAGAUGCGGUAUGCGAUGCAUAUGCAUGAUUUGACAAGGAAUGAUUGAACCUGGCCUCAACUUGGAAAUACAAGUGUUCCACUGGAAAGGUGAGGUGAUUUCGGUUGAAAUCGAUAUAAAGUUCACCGGAAUCGGAGGCACGGUUUGGAAAUGGCAAGCAAAACAAAUAUGGCACAGGUCUGCGAUAAACAGAAAGUAGCCAUCUAAAUGCAACAAGAUAAACAUGCUACAGCACUCAAAAAGACAACAAAAUACAUGGCAGGGAUCCAAUCAUGAUGCGUGAUAAAAGAUGAACACUGAGCUACGGCCGAUUCAUCCAUUAACAGGUUCAAACAAGCAUGGCAAAAGUGCAAUUGAUAAACAGGUUUCAGACAUAGUGAAAUUAACACAAGCCUGGAAUUCAUAUCAGGUAGCACACUUUGGAGCAAUAAAACUAUAUGCUACAGGAACUGAACAUGGCAAAGUAAAGCAUGGCAUGGAGCUACUCAAAGAGCUUAACAAAAGUCCCUUAGUGACCUUGAGGCAAAAGGGAUCAGAAAAUAGAAUUGCAAGCAUGUGAACAUGGCAAAAACAUAAUCAGAUCUCAGACUUAGAGAAAAACUGGAGCAUCCAAAUCUGUUAACGAGUAGGCAUGUUCGCGAGCUCGAUGCACUCACUAUAGAGCAAGGCAUUACAAUCUAAGCAUGCACCCAUCAAGAAUACACAUUGUAUAAGCGGGGUCCUGUUCAAUCACGGUCGAAAUAGGGUCCUAUUCAAUGGGAGGGGUGUAGCGUACCGCAAAACGGAGGAAACGGACUUGUGUUGGAGCGCCUACAGUCGAAAUGAGGUCCUGUUCAUCCACCGUCUACUGCCUCGCUCCAGCCUCCACUGGCUAUUGUUCAUCCACCGUCGACCUCUUCCAGCCUCCACGGGCUACUGUUCAUCCACGGGUACUGUUCAUCCAGCCUCCACCGGCUGCUGUUCAUAGAGCCUCUACAGGGUCCUGUUCAUCCACCCCCAACCGUGUGGGAUGCGGCGGCCUCCUAGGGGUCCUGUUCAUCCAACGGCAACGGCCUACUACCAUGGGGUUGUAACGCCACGGAUGUAACUUUCCAUAAUUGUAACUCCAACUCUUGCCAUUUCCGGCUAUGUGAUAUGCUAUAUCCUUCAUGGUUGAAUUUUUUGUCUUUCGUUUUGCAUUUUGUUCAUGUCAUGUAUUUCAUCUCAUGUCAUCAUGUGCAUCUCAUUUGCAUCGUGUUUGUCUCAUGCAUCCGGUCUUUUUACCCGUUGUCCGUUUCGGAAUUCGACACUCCCACAUGCACCCGUUGCACCUCUCAGAUCUCGUUUCAUGAGCGGGAGAAAAACGUUCUCGGAAUGGGUCGAGAUUUGUCGAGUGGCCUUGGUACAUCACUCGUAGGCCGCCUGUCAAAUUCCGUUCCAUUUGGAGGGUAGUUUGAUGCCCCAACGGUUAACCUGGUAACCGCAAAAGCCCUUCUCUCUUUGCUGCCCAACACCCCUCCAAAUAGCCCACUAGCCCAUCUAAACCCCCUCCAUGCUCUUCGUCGUUGUAUCACGAUCGUGUGGGCGAAAACUGCACCUCAUUUGGACUCUUCUAACUCCCCCUACCUAUAAAUAUGCCUCCCCCUCCUCAUUUUGCGGAUGAGAACCCUAGCUCCCACCACCUCCGCGUCGCCGGACGCGCCCACCGACGGCCGGACACGUCCGCCGCUGCCGCCUGGACCUAUUGCACCUCGCCACAUGUGGCCCCGCCGCCUCCACCGCCGCCAGCCCGCCCGAGCCCGUAGCGGCCCCCUCCGGCCCAUCGCCCGCGCCGCCGCCUCCCGUGCUCGCCGCCCGCUGUCGCCUAGCGCCGCCAAUGACACCGCAUGUCGCCGCCGUUGCGCCAGCGCCGCUUCUCGCCCCACUGCCGACGCGCACCGCGCCACCGGACGCCGCCACCGGAUCCGGCGCCGACUGGCCAGAUCCGGCCAGCCCCUCACCGGUGACCUCUUCCCCGGCCAUCUCCGGCGAUCGCCGUCGACUCCGGCCACCUCUCCGGCGACUUUUCCGGCGACCUUGGUUCACGUGCCGUGGACAAACCCUAGAUCCGCGAGGUGAUAUUUCCGUCCAAGUCCCUAGGAUCCAACAUUAUAUGCACCCCUUUGACAUGCCAUAUCUCCAUGCUUGUAGCUCCAUUUUGCGUGCAUGAUAUAUCGAAAUGUUCGUCUCGUGAUGCUCUUCAUGUUAGUGUCAUUUGCAUGCAUGUUACUAUCAAUAUCGAUGCCCUAAUCCUCAUUGCAAAAGUGCGAUAUGAUGUUGUCUACUGGGAUUUAUCAUAACUUGUUGAUUUAUCAUUUUCGUUGCAUUUUGUGUGUGCAUCCUAUGAGGAUGAUGUCUGCAUGUUUCUGGAGCAUCUCCAUGACAUCUUUAAAGUGGUGCAAGCCUUGUAUUUUUAUGUGCUCUGUGGUUACUAGCACAAGCAUGCAAAGUAGGCUAUAUGAUGUUGCUGAUUUCAGGCACUUAGUAUUUUUGCGAAGUCCUUUCCUGUCACAUUAUGAUGCUAUGUUGUCUUGCUGCUACAAGUAGAUCCAUGCACAUUUUGAGGUAGUUCGGUAAGAGUGUUGUGAAGAUAUGGUUAUGCUCUAUUCGUUCAUACCUCUGGUUGCAAUUAUGGAGUACUCUAGAUUGUCAUUACCAUGCUCUACAUUUGCUAAAUAUUGUUACUUGCAGAUUGUUAACAUGAAGUUCAUUUUUGCCAUGUGUUUUGCUAUCGAUCCAUGCACCCUAUGAACUUUCUCUUGCCAUGUUUAGCUUCAUAAAUGUGUCUACUUACUGUUGUUUACUGAGGGAGUCCUGGAUUAGGGGGUGUCCGGAUGGCCGGACUCCUGGACUAUGAAGAUACAAGAUUGAAGACUUCGUCCCGUGUCCGAAAGGGACUUUCCUUGGCGUGGAAGGCAAGCUUGGCGAUACGGAUAUGUAGAUCUCCUACCAUUGUAACCGACUCUGUGUAACCCUAGCCCUCUCCGGUGUCUAUAUAAACCGGAGAGUUUUAGUCCGUAGGACGAACAACAAUCAUACCAUAGGCUAGCUUCUAGGGUUUAGCCUCUCUGAUCUCGUGGUAGAUCUACUCUUGUACUACCCAUAUCAUCAAUAUUAAUCAAGCAGGACGUAGGGUUUUACCUCCAUCAAGAGGGCCCGAACCUGGGUAAAACAUCGUGUCCCCUGCCUCCUGUUACCAUCCGACCUAGACGCACAGUUCGGGACCCCCUACUCGAGAUCCACCGGUUUUGACACCGACAUUGGUGCUUUCAUUGAGAGUUCCUCUGUGUCAUCACUUUUAGGCCCGAUGGCUUCUUCGAUUAUCAAUAGCGAUGCAAUCCAGCGUGAGACUUUUCUCCCAGGACAGAUCUUCGUAUUCGGCGGCUUUGCGCUGCGGGCCAAUUCUCUUGGUCAUCUGGAGCAGAUCGAAAGCUACGCCCCUGGCCAUCAGGUCAGAUUUGGAAGUUUGAACUACACGACCGACAUCCGCGGAGACUUGAUCUUCGACGGAUUCGAGCCACAGCCGAGCGCGCCGCACUAUCACGAUGGGCAUGAUUUAGCUCUGCCGCCGAACAGUGCCCUGGAGGCCGCACCUGUGUCCGCUCCGACCCCUAGCUCAGAGCCCAUCACACCAACCGAGGAUGGGUGGUUAGACACCACCUCGGGGGCUACAGUUUCUACGGCAAUCGAGCAGAACACCAGCCCUAUUCUCUGCGAAGCCCGUGACUCCAAGGAGCCGGACUCCUCUCCAGGCUCCGAGCCCUCCGCACCCCGACUGAUUGAACCCGAUUGGGCGCCGAUCAUGGAGUUCACCGCCGUGGACAUCUUUCAGCACUCGCCCUUCGGCGAUAUUCUGAAGUCACUAAAGUCUCUCUCUUUGUCAGGAGAGCCCUGGCCGGACUAUGGUCGGCAAGGUUGGGAUGCGGAUGAUGAAGAAAUUCAAAGACCACCCACCACCCACUUCGUAGCCACUAUCGAUGAUUUAACCGACAUGCUCGACUUUGACUCUGAAGACAUCGACGGUAUGGACGCCGAUGCAGGAGACGAUCAAGAACCAGCACCUAUAGGGCACCGGAAAGCCACCUCGUCAUAUGAUAUAUACAUGGUGGACACCCCAAAAGAAGGCAAUGGCGAUGGAACAGCGGAGGAUGACCCCUCCAAGAAGCAACCUAAGCACCGGCGUCAGCGGCGCCGCUCUAAAUCCCGCCAAAACAAAAACGGUGAUUCCGGCACGGUGGAUAAUAACACCUCGGACAGUGCCGAAGACAACCACCUCCAGCAAGAUUCAGCACAGGAGGAUAGAGAAGCCAGCCCUCAUGAGAGAGCGGCAGACAGAGAGGUCGAGGACGAUAAUUAUAUGCCUCCCUCAGAAGACGAGGCAAGCCUCGACAAUGACGAAUUUGUCGCGCCGGAGGAUCCCAUCGAACAGGAUCGUUUCAAAUGCAGGCUUAUGGCCACGACGAGCAGCCUCAAGAAAAAACAGCAACAGCUUAGAGCUGAUCAAGAUUUGCUAGCCGAAAGAUGGACUGAAGUCCUUGCGGCCGAAGAGUAUGAACUCGAACGCCCCUCCAAGAGCUACCCAAAGCGCAGGUUGCUACCCCAAUUAGAGGAGGAAGCACCUAAACCUACAUCACCAACGCAUGAUGCGGCCGACCGGCCACCCCGUGGCCACGACAGAGAGGCCUCUCGGCCCUCCACUCAAGCCGCACCCCGGCGCCGCUCUAAAACUACCAAGGCACGGAAAAAUGCGCUAGACCUGCGAGAUAUAUUGGAGGACAAGGCAAGACAAACAAGAUCGAUCUACGGAUCACGUGGGCGCCCCACGGCACGAGACGUUACUCGUCACGCCGGAUACAGUAAAUCCAGCCUGGCUGAACACAGUAGACAAAGCUCGUUUGAGCUGCGUUGUGAUGUAGCCCAAUACAGAGGCGCCGGACACCCACUAUGCUUCAUAGAUGAAGUAAUGGAUCAUCAAAUCCCCGAGGGUUUCAAACCCGUGAACAUCAAAUCAUACGAUGGCACAACAGAUCCUGCGUAUGGAUCGAGGACUAUCUCCUUCAUAUCCACAUGGCCCACGGUGAUGACCUACACGCCAUCAAAUACCUCCCACUCAAGCUUAAAGGACCAGCCCGGCAUUGGCUUAACAGCUUGCCAGCAGAAUCAAUUGGUUGUUGGGAGGACCUAGGAGCUACAUUCCUCGACAAUUUCCAGGGCACUUAUGUGCGACCACCAGACGCCGAUGACCUAAGCCACAUAAUUCAGCAGCCAGAGGAAUCGGCCAGACAAUUCUAGACACGGUUCCUAACCAAGAAAAAUCAAAUCGUUGACUGUCCGGACGCAGAGGCCCUAGCAGCCUUCAAGCAUAACAUCCACGACGAGGGCUUGCAUGGCACCUAGGACAGGAAAAGCCGAUUUCUAUGGCAGCCCUCACGACACUUAUGACCCGCUUUUGCGCGGGAGAAGACAGCUGGCUAGCUCGUAGCAAUAACAUGACUAAGAGGCCUGGUAAUUCGGAUACCAAGGACAGCAUUGGCAGGUCACGUCGCAACAAGCAAAAGUGCCGCAUUAACGGUGACAAUGCUGAGGAUACGACAGUUAAUGCCGGAUUCAAAGGCUCUAAACCCGGUCAGCGGAAAAGGCCAUUCAAAAGAAAUACUCUGGGCCCGUCCAGUUUGGAGCGAAUACUCGACCGCUCAUGCCAGAUACAUGGCACCCCCAAAAAACCAGCCAAUCACACCAACAGGGAUUGUUGGGUGUUCAAGCAGGCAGGAAAGUUAAAUGACAAAAGAAGAGACAAGGGGCUCCAUAGCGAUGACGAGGAGGAGCCCCGGCCGCCGAACAACAGCAGACAGAAAGGUUUUCCCCCACAAGUGCGGAUGGUGAACAUGAUAUACGCAACCCAUGUCCCCAAGAGGGAGCGGAAGUGUGUGCUAAGGGACGUAUAGGCGAUGGAGCUAGUCGCCCCAAAGUUCAACCCAUGGUCUUCCUGCCCAAUCACUCUUGAUCGAAGGGACCACCCCACUAGCAUCCGUCAUGGCAGAUUCGCCGCAUUGGUUCUAGACCCAAUUAUUGACGGAUUUCACCUCACUAGAGUCCUUAUGGACGGCGGCAGCAGCCUGAACCUGCUUUAUCAGGAUACAGCGCGGAAAAUGGGCAUCGAUCCCUCGAGGAUUAAACCCACCAGAACGACCUUUAAAGGCGUCAUACCAGGUGUAGAAGCCAACUGUACAGGCUCAGUUACACUUGAAGUGGUCUUCAGAUCUCCGGAUAAUUUCCGAAGCGAGGAGUUAAUCUUUGACAUAGUCCCGUUCCGCAGUGGCUAUCACGCACUGCUCGGGCGAACCGCAUUUCCCAAGUUCAAUGCGGUGCCGCACUAUGCAUACCUCAAGCUCAAGAUGCCAGGCCCUCGAGGCGUCAUCACGGUCAAUGGAAACACCGAACGCUCUCUCCGAACGGAGGAGCAUACGGCGGCUAUCGCAGUGGAAGUACAAAGCAGCCUCUCAAGGCAAUUCUCCAGUCCGGCCAUUAAACGUCCGGACACCGUUAAGCAUGCCCGGAGUAACCUACAACAAGACCGCCUGGUAGGUUCCAAGCAAGCAUAGCAAUGCGGCCCCAACCCCAGCCCUCGCGAACUUGCGAAACCAGUGUUGCGCGUACAUAACUACGCUCUAGAAAUACCAUGGGCACAGGGGGAGGGCACCAUCACGACACGCCCAAAACGUAGCUUAAACCGCACUAGGGGCUGCCAAUUUCUUAAUUUUCUCUUAUUUUCAAGACUCCAUUCUUCGGAAGGCUUGUCCGGCAGUACAAUUGCCGCAAAAACAAUACAACCAGGGAAGCAGAAAGCCACGCCGCACUAUGGAACUCUAAGGUGGUCUCUAUAACGAGCAGUAUACCUGUUUCGCAUAACAUUCCACAGCUCGCCCCUGGAAAGGACAUAUUUGAUAGUCCCAUCUUUUGCUUAUCGCACUAUUUGUAUCGUUCUGCUUUGAUCGCAGCUUUUUUAAAUAAACAAUGCAUAGCUUCCGUCUAUUAUCGCAUUACUUCUUUUUUUACGAAUAUAUGUUCAUUAAUGACAUGUUGCACCCGUACACUUUGGUACGGCCAAUACGCCGGGGGCUUAAGUACCCCACAACAUGGUGUGAGAAGUCCGAACACUUUCACAAGUGCGGCACACUAAACUUAUAGCAUUAUAUGCAUCGUCUCCAAAUCAUGUCUUGGGUCAAUAGUUGGGUUUGCCCGGCUCCUAUGUUUUGGUACCUUACGUUCCGUCAUAUCGGCUAAGGUAGCACUAGGAGAACUACUGCGAUUGUGCCCCAGUUGAGCUGGGCUAAGCACCUCAGUAGAGAAAGCUAAAACUGACCGUCAUGAUGAGGCGAGAGCUGGUCGCUGUUCGAGAGGUUUUCGAGUCCCUAAAGACUUAUGCCGCUUAGAGCAAGGAGUCGGCUUUGUCCGGUCCAGGCGUCGAUAGCGCCCCGAACUCGGUCUUCCGAACACUAGGGCCUUCGCCGAAAUUUAAAAUUAUAGAAUUCUAUGGCUAAGUGAGAGUGUUCAAGCAUUAUAGUCUGAUUGCCUUGUUCGUUGUGUUGAGCGCCUCCCUCAAAGGACCCAAGAAUGGGAAAAAGAGCGCUCAUGUUUAUCCCGAACACCCCAGCACUCGUGGCAUGGGGGCAGAAGCCGACGACUCGCCAUCUCUCAAAUUUGAUAAACGGCCGCACAAAAGGUAAUAUUUUAAAUUCAAAAGUGUUGCUUAGCGCAUAUGAACAAGUUUUCAGUGUACAGGAUCACAAAUGCGAGUUUACUCAAAAAUUACAUCUUUGGAGCAUUCAUCCGCUAUAAGGCGGGCACCCUUCAGGACGCCCUCAUAAUACGCUUCCGGGACGCGAUGCUCCUUGCCCGGCGGCGGCCCGUCCUUCACCAGCUUCUCCGCAUCCAUCUUGCCCCAGUGCACUUUAGCAUGGGCAAGCGCCCUACGGGCACCUUCGAUGCAGACGGAGCGCUUGAUUACUUCAAGCCGUGGACAGGCAUCCACCAGCCGCCUCACCAGCCUGAAGUAGCUCCCAGGCAGAGCCUCUCCAGGCCACAACCGAACUAUGAGGCCCUUUACGGCCUGUUCGGCAACCUUGUGGAGCUCGACCAUCUGCUUCAGCUGGUCGCUCAAAGGCACCAGGUGUCCGGCCUCAGCAUACUGAGACCAGAACACCUUCUCCGUCGACCUCCCCUCCUCGCCUCGGUAGUAGGCGGCGGCAUCAGACGCACUGCGGGGCAAAUCUGCGAAUGCUCCUGGAGAGCUCCGGACUCGGGUAAGUAACAAAUAAUUCACUUUCACGUGCUUGCUUUGCAUAAUGAAUGCCUUACCCGCCGCUAUCUUCUUCAUCGCGUCAAUUUCUUUGAGGGCUUUCCGGGCUUCGGCCUUGGCAGACUUCUCGCUUUUGAAGGCUGCCACAAGCUCGGACACUUGCAUCUUUGAGUGAAGCUCCAAACUCUCGUGUUUUUUCACGAGAGCCUGGAGCUCUUUCUGCACCUCCUCCACCCGCGCCUCCUGUUUCUCUCUCUCCGUGCGCUCUGCGGCCGCCCUGUUUUCGGCCUCGGUGAGCGCUUGCUUAAGGGUUGCCACCUCGGCCGUGGCCCCUAUAAUAGCACGUUGAUCCUGUCAUUUUUUGCAACCACAUCUUCUCUAUAUAAUUGCGCAAGGUAUUACUUACCUUCCUUCUCCUCGAGUUGUCUCUUGGCAUGGCCGAGCUCGUUCUCGGACCGCGCGAGGUUCUGCUUCAGCGUAUCCACCUCUGCAGUCAGUGCGGCGGAGGCCAGCAGCGAAGCCUGCAUACGCAUAUUGACUUGAUUAUGUUAGACUCAUGCGAUUAUUAGAUCCUUUAUUCGGCUCUUCUUUCCGAACGCCGAACAGAGCAUCAGGGGCUACUAUCUAUGCGGUAAUAUUUUUACAUAUUCUUUACCUACCUCAAAGCCUGUUAGAAGGCUGGCACAGGCUUCAGUCAGUCCACUCUUGGCGGACUGAACCUUCUGGAUCACUGCACUCAUAAUAGUGUGGUGCUCCUUGUCGAUGGAGGCGCCGUUAAGUGUCUCCAGCAAAUUGUCAAGUGCCUCCGGUUGGACGGAGGUCACCGGCUCGGUAGGCUCGCUCCUCUUGGAAGGAGGCCGCCUACUGGAGUCUGGAACCAUUGAAGGUUCCGGCGCAGUGUCUGGCUCAAGGCCGGACUCGGAGCCCUUGGGGGUUUUAUCCCCUUUGCGCCUGGAGUCCGGGAGGUCGCCUUGCGGCGCCUCCAAGACCACCUCCUCCUGGCUUGGAACCUGUUGGGACAGCACCUCGGCGUCGUCCGUAGGGUGGGGGGAGGUAGCCGUCGGAAGAAAAUUCACAUCCGACGAAUCCAGGGAACCGCUCGACGACACGUCGAGCUGGUCUUUGGGUGGACUGCAUAAACAUGUUCGACAUAAGGAAAAGUUGUGCAAUGGAAGAAUACUAUGAAUCACUCUGGUAUCCGGACACUUACGAUCUCGCCAGGGGCUUGGCCCUGUGCGGCCACUCCUCUUCGCCAUCGUCGGCGUUUGUGGACCCGUCCGGAGGAAGGGUUUUCCCCUUCUUGGACCCUUCGGCCUCCCCAGUUGGGGCGGCCUUCCUUUUCUUCUCUCCCCCCGCUGGAGGGGGAGAGGUCUCUUCUUCCUCCUCCUCGUCUUCAUGGGAGGAGUGCGUCUUGGAGUCGUCGGACGAUGAAUCCGACACCCCCAGGCGCCGGGCACUCUUCCGAGUCCCCGUGGCCUUCUUCUUGGCCUUCUUCUCCGGCACCACAUAGGGUGCCGGAACUAGCAGCUUCGCCAAGCGAGCGUCCGCUGGGCCUUCGGGCAAAGGAGCCGGACAGUUGAUCUGUCCGGACGUCUCCUGCCAAUCCUGUCAAAGGUAAGGGAGCUUAAGAUCCCGCAUGGAGUCAAACUAUGAAAAACUAAUACCCUAUAAAAGGUAAAAACAGCUUACCGCACGAGCGCGACGCUGCGUGCUGAAUCCGCGAUCCUCGGUAGCGGAUGCGGGGGCCUCGACGCCCUUGAAAAGCACCUUCCAGGCAUCUUCGUAUGUUGUGUCGAAGAGCCUGCUUAGAGUUCGGUGCUGCACCGGGUCGAACUCCCACAGGUUGAAAGCCCGUUGUUGACACGGGAGGAUCCGGCGGAUGAGCAUAACCUGGACUACGUUGACAAGUUUGAGCUUCUUGUCCACCAGGGUUUGGACGCAUGUUUGGAGUCCGGUCAGCUCUCCUUCUUUACCCCACGACAGGCCCGUCUCUUUCCAGGAGGUGAGCUGUGUUGUGACGCCCCAAGACCGGAGCUUCAGAUGCCUUCCAUCUUUUCCGAGUUCCGUCGGGUGUUUUGUUUAGUCUGUUGCAUGCAUCAUUGCAUAUUUUGCGUUGCAUCAUGUCAUCAUGCCAUCAUGUCAUUUCUUUUCUUAACUCAACUAAAUAAAUGGCAUGGAUCUUUGAUCCAUUUAAUCGAGGGAAGGGUGACUUCUCUUUAUAACAUAUCCUCCCGAUAUUAGGGAGCUAUAGUAAAUAUUUCUUUAAUUUGGAAUUCACCUUAACACACUUGCAUAUUAAAUCCCUUGGCCUUUUUCUUCUUCAACUGUUGACUCUCUAACCUUGCCAUUUAUUCUUUCAUCAUUUUCCGGAGCUCUACAAAAAUCCUCAACAUUUUUUGGAAACUCCUAAAACCUCGUCCUAGUUCAAACCCAUUUGAAUAAAAUUCAAAUGAGCUUGAAUUCUUAUCGUUCGAUCUGGCAUUUUCUAAUUUUCUCGGACCAAGCAUUUUUUUGUGAGUCCAAGAAAAUUAGCCACAUGCCCUAAUUCUUCUUCCAACUUUCUCUUGUCUUCUUUCCUUCUAGUUUUCUGUUAAUGUAAAGAGAAAGGAGGAAGAGAGAAACCCAGCCGCCACUUGUGUCCAGUCGGACCAAUUUGGCCCAAGGCCUAGGCUACCGCAAGCCCUUUAGCCAGGCCGGCCCAUUCUGCUUCACGGCCUGCUAGACCCAGCCGCCUCCCACUAGUGUCGCAACCCUAGGCCGACCGAAACCAUCUCCUUCUCGAUCCCUCUCUCCCUCCUAGCGCCGUCACCAGGAGACACAUGCUCGACCCCCUCCUCUCGCCGUGAUCCUUUCUCCCUCUCUCGAUCUCCCACGCCCAAACCUCCCAUCUCCCUCUCGUGCCCUAUGAUGCAACCCCGUCGUCGUGCACCACCUUUCGCACCUCCCGCCGCCUCCCAUGGCGCCCUCACCCGUGCGUGAGACCUCCCCGUCGCCAGCACCGCUGCCUUGCCGCGCUUGAGUCCUUGUGCGCCUCCCUGCUUCGUCCGGCCGCAGCACCGCCAAGCUCCUCCAACCGCCCCUGCCGGCGACCGGCAGGUCGCUGCCGUCCGUCUCCUCCACUUGGAGCCUGCGCAGCCACGCGCCCAGAGGCCGCCGCCCACUCCUCCCUCGAUCCCGCCGGAUUCAAGCGCCGCGAAGCAGCUCCCUCUCCUGCGCGUCUCGCUGCCGUCUCCCCGCAUCAGACCUGGCCUCCACCACCUCGCCUUCAUCUGCCUCCCCGCCAGGGUCCCUCGCAGUCUCCACAUCGUCGCCUUGCCUCGUCGCUGGCCCUGCUCCACCUCGUCGCCUCGCAUCCGCAGAACUAGGCCACGGCCGCGCCAUGGCCACCUCCCUCCUUUGCACCCGGCCUCGACUGGAGUCGCCCCUGUCAGCAACCAGCACGACCACGAGGCUGCACUCUCCUUCCCCUGCACAGGAGCUCGCAGUUACCACCAUCGCCUCCUUGUUGUUGGCAUCCUGAGGCCCUUUUGUUGUCUUGUGUUGGACGCGGCAAGAUCGACUACAACGACGCCAAGUUCCACCACCGGCAAGACCCGGACUCUGAAUGCAAGUACAACUACAAACCCGAAGAACUCAGAUGCAUCAAGUCCCCGAGGAGACCCGUUUUUUCGUCAAGUUCGACUACAUUGUGACGUGUCAAGUACCUAUACCAUGUCUCCGAAAUCGCCAAGACCGUCCCGAAUAUUGCCAAGUACCACUUCGAUUCCAGAACGCGACAAGUACCACGACGCCCGGAGUCCUUGGAUCCGUCAAGUUCCAUUAUGAGAUAUACAACUACCGUCGACCUCAAAGACCUCGGAUUCAUCAAGUUCUCACGACGACAAGUGUGACCCUUAGGAUGCGCCAAGUUCGUCCACAAAAAAACGCCAAGUACCACUCAUGUCGGCAAGACCCGCAAGUCGGACCCCGAAUGAUCGAUGUCUCGUGGACCGUGUACAACUACCGUCGCCCCGAAGACGUCGGAGUCAUCAAGCACCUCUCCGAACGAACGUGAAUGACUACCGUCGCCGAGAUCGCGAGAACCUCUACCGUCGACCCUAGAGCGUGCGAGAACGACUACUUCCACUACCAUCGUCGCGACAACGUCUACUUCCUCUACUUUGCACCAAACGAGAACUGUCCCGCUUGCACGCUUCGAAGGUAUAAUCCUGAGAUGACCGCCCGUGAACGAAUGCAUGUGUGAUGUAUGAGAUGCUCGUGUUUGCUCCGUGCUCGAAUUGUCGGUGCACGUUGCCCCUCUUUUGCCUGUCACCAUCGUCGACUCAUGGGACAUCCGGUAUCCGGGAGUGCCCCACCAUCUUUUGCACGCAUCCGCACACUUCUCCUUUGCAUCGGUAUCUCAAUCGAGUUACCGGAACUGGGACAUUGCCGUGGCACCGUUUCGAUAUCGUUGCCGUGGCACCCCUUUCCUUUCCACCACGGUGACAAAUGCUUCAUAAUGCUCUUGUCAACUUGUAAUAUAAAUUGCAUAAACUUGUUCAUGUCAUCCGCAUCAUGAUAACAACAAUUAAAAUGUUCAGAUUGUUGUUGCAAUAAAUUACUAAGGGAUAUGAGGAUUUACCGGAUUCGUUAUUUGUUAUAUCCGGCCCCAUUUAAAUUGUUAGAUGGUAUAGUUUUGUUAUGCUUCACCUCUUGCCAUGUUAAUCAACAUUUAAUAUUGUUGAGUACCUAAACGAGAGAAAACUAAAUAAUUGAUGUGGUGUUUCGUCAAUAUGCAACUCAUUGCAUAUUGAGCUCCACUUAACUUGUAGUUUUGUUUGUGCCCAUAUUGCCAUGUCAUGCAUAUUUAAACCGGACAUGCAUCAUACUUGAUUGUGCAUCAUGCCAUGAUUCUGUGGUGGUUGUUUACUAUGCUGUUUGUUCUUUCCGGUGUUGCUUCUUCCGGUCGUUUCCGAUAACGUCGCGUUUGUGAGGAUUCGUUCGACUACGUCCGUUUGUCUUCUUCAUGGACUCGUUCUUCUUCCUUGCGGAAUCUCAGGCAAGAUGAUCAUACCCUCGAAAUCACUUCUAUCUUUGCUUGCUAGUUGCUCGCUCUUUUGCUAUGCCUAUGCUGCCAUACCUACCACUUGCUUAUCAUGCCUCCCCUCGUGUUGAACCAAGCCUCUAACCCACCUUGUCCUAGCAAACCGUUGUUUGGCUAUGUUACCGAUUUGCUCAGCCCCUCUUAUAGCGUUGUUAGUUGCAGGUGAAGAUUGAAGUUUGUUCCUUGUUGGAACAUGUUUACUUGUUGGGAUAUCACAAUACCUCUUAUUUAAUUAAUGCAUCUAUAUACUUGGUAAAGGGUGGAAGGCUCGGCCUUAUGCCUGGUGUUUUGUUCCACUCUUGCCGCCCUAGUUUCUGUCAUAUCGGUGUUAUGUUCCUGGAUUUUGUGCUCCUUACGCGGUUGGGUUAUAAUGGGAACCCCUUGACAGUUUGCCUUGAAUAAAACUCCUCCAGCAAUGCCCAACAUUGGUUUUACCAUUCGCCACCUAGCCUUUUUUCCCUUGGGUUAGGCCAGCCCAAGGGUCAUCUUUAUUUUUAACCCCCCGCCCCCGGGCCAGUGCUUGUCUAAGUGUUGGUCCAACCGAGCAAUGUUCGGAGCUACCAAGGGCAACUCUGGGCUGGCCCACCCGACGUCUUGCUCAUCCGGUGUGCCCUGAGAACGCGAUAUGUGCAGCUCCUAUCGGGAUUUGUCGGCACAUCUGGGUGGUCUUGCUGGUCUUGUUUUACCAUUCUCGAAAUGUCUUGUAACCGGGAUUCCGAUUCUGACCGAGUCUUCUCGCUAGAAGGAAUAUCCUUCGUUGACCGUGAGAGCUAGUGAUGGGCUAAGUUGGGACACCCCUGCAGGGAUUUGAACUUUCAAAAGCCAUGCCCGCGGUUAUGGGCAGAUGGGAAUUUGUUAAUGUCCGGUUGUAGAAAACCUGAAGUUGACCUUAAUUAAAAUGCACCAACCGCGUGUGUUACCGUGAUGGUCUCUUCUCGGCAGGGUCCGGGAAGUGAACACGGUGUUGGAGUUAUGCUUGACGUAGGUUGUUCUAGGAUCACUUCUUGAUCAUAGUUGUUCGACCGUGCUUUGCUUUCUCUUCUCGCUCUCUUUUGCGAAUAGGUUAGCCACCAUAUAUGCUAGUCGCUUGCUGCAGCUCCACCCCAUACCUUUACCUUACCCACAAGCUUAAAUAGUCUUGAUCGCGAGGGUGUGAGAUUGCUGAAUCCCUGUGACUCACAGAUACUUCCAAAACCAGCUUGCAGGUGCCGAUGAGUUCGUGCAGAUGACGCAACCAACCUCAGGAGGAGCUCGAUGAAGAUCUUGUCCUUUGUGUUGUUGCGUUUUCCAUUUGAUCAGUAGUGGAGCCCAGUUGGGACGAUCAGGGAUCUGUGUAGCAUUUGGGGUAGUCUUCUUUUAUUUCGGUUCCGUAGUCGGACCUUGAGUGUAUCUGGAUGAAUGUAAUGCUUUAUUCAUGUAAUUGUAUGAAGUGACGAUUGUAAGCCAACUAUGUAUCUCUUUCCCUUAUGUGUUAUAUGGGCUGUGUGAAGAUUACC